RNAcentral lists this long non-coding RNA (264 nucleotides) under Elaeis guineensis (African oil palm). Its description in RNAcentral is "long non-coding RNA (EGUI_LNC045435)". The record is from RNAcentral. Lineage: Eukaryota; Viridiplantae; Streptophyta; Magnoliopsida; Arecales; Arecaceae.
UUAUUUUUAUGCUUUUUAAAUUUUUGUUAUUUAUUUUUAUUGCAAGUAGAUGCUAGGAUCUAGUUAGUAAAUUUUAGUACCCGAUUUAUUUUUCACAUUUUAAAUUUUUAUUUUCUAACUUAAAUUGCUUUCUCUAAAAUUUUAUUUUUUUUAUAAAAUCAAAGAUUUCAAAUCAAAAUCCUACUUUCUCUAUGGAUUCGAUCUGACUCACUACUUUCUAUAUAUUUUUAAUUUUUAUUGAAGUUGGAAUUUGAUUGAUAAUCA